AACACUCACUGACAAAAUAUAUUCAGAUAACUUUAAAUAUAUUUGAUUACUUAGUGGAAAAUGUAAAUAUUUUACUGUCUAACAGGACUAAAUAAUGUGUCUCUAUGUUCUGGAAAGAGGAGAGAUUUACUUGUGUCAGAGACUCCCCAUUCUUGGACAGCUGCAACAUAUGUGAGAAGUGUUCUUCACAUCGGAAGUCUCUGGAAAUUUUUACAUCUCCACACCUGCUCCAUUUUGUGUUUCCCUUGGCUUGAUGAAAGGAAAGCUAUGAGAUACGUGGACCUCCACGGCCCAGAAGCCCUCACUGGACUGCACAUGAGCAAACAAGCCUUGUUCUGUAGAAUCUAGUUCAAUCUGCGUAUACUUAAGAAUAAGAGGAAAGAGGCUGGGAGCAAAACUGUGUUCUGGUCUUUGCCCAAAGCAUCCUUUUUUCCUCCCUCUUUGCAAACCCCGAAAGUCUGAAAAGCUGGAGUGGUUAGCUUCCACACUUCUUUCCUAAAUGCAAAGAGAGAUGCUCGUUUAUGGACCAGAAUGAGAAAACGAGAAGCACCCAGACUCUCACGGGACAGUUUGCCAGUAAAGUCUUCCAAGUCCAAGAAGCUUUACAUAAGUUGGAGGUACCCUGGAAAGGGACCAACAGCCUUUUCAGCUCUUUACCCAUCACUAAUUCUGGCUCCAGCUGGACUCCGGCUUGCUGAUGAAAGGGAAUGAAAGCCGCGGGCCUCCAAGGGCAUUUUGGAUGGAAUCUAUUCAGCCUGAAUUUACUUGCCCUGCAUUAUGACAUCUCCAUGACAACAAGCACAUGUCUCAGUGUGUUACAUGGAGAGGGGCUGUCCUUUGUGAGGAGAAUCUGACCAUGUGCCACUUCCUUCCUGGAUGCUGCAUUGGGCUCCACCUUGAGUCAGUCUCCCCUCAUUUCCUAUGAUAGGCAUAUCGAGAGAUGUGUGAGGCCAGCAUCCAAAUUUCUGAACCCACCAUAGAUCGCGCUGGAGACAUGUGGCAGUGGAGUUUGCUCCAGCAGCAGUUGGCAUGCAUGGGGCUGAUCAGAAAUUGAGGCUGAGGCAGCUUUCCUGCUGUCAGUUGACUCCUUCUUUUAGCUGGGUUCUGAAGGCCAUGAGAUGAAAGGGUGGGCUAGACACUGGCCAUCAUUAUUCUGUUUCAAAAUGUGUGAUUUGUGAGACUUCUGGUACCCAACGGAGCCCCACAUAAGAUCCUGAAAUUAUUGUCCCCUGAACUGUCUGUCCUUUAGUCAUUUUACAAACUUGAGAGAUGGCAAAACAAAACAAAACAAAACAAAACCCCACAAAACCAAACAGUCACUGAGUAUUGGUCACAAGAAUAUUUAGUUUGAUAUCAUUGCAUGAGAAAACAUUUUCUCUUUCUCAUAUUCUCAUCAUCCACAGUACCCAUAAUAGGAUUAUCUAUCAUGAGAGAUGUUUUAGGGAAAAAUUUAUUGAUUCUUGUUUUUAGCCUGCUUAGUUAUUCAUCCCUCAAAGGAGACAGCUGAUAUGUUUCUGGAUAAUAAGGCCUGGUUUCCAUUUGUACAUAUUUCUUUUGGAGGUGGCAACACUAUGCCAAAGACUGUGCCAUGAUUCCCUGUCUCCCACAUCUCCCACAGUAGAUUCUCAUUUUCAUUUCUUUGUCUACUAGUUCAUUAACUUUCAUAUAUGGUAGCUCUAAUCAUUGAGAAUCUAAAAACCAGCCAUCCUUAAGACAGUGCUUACCCACGGGUGCAGAAUCAUCUCACUGAUUAUGGAGUUUAUAUUUAGGCAUUAAACUUCAACUAUGGAGAAACUUCUCAAAGAGCUAAAAGAAAAUCUGCCAUAUGACCCAUCCAUACCAUUCUUGGUACACCCAAAGAAUUUACUAUCUAACUAUAGUGAAGCUUGCUUAGUUUUUCAUUGCUGCUCUAGUCACAAAAACUAGCAAGUGGAAGAGGCCUAAUUUUCCUUAAAAUAAUGAAUGGAUGAAAAUGUGACUCAAAUACAUUGUGGGUUACUAUUCAGCUGAAGCAAAUAUAAAAUAAUGAAAUCUGCCAGUAAAUGAAUGGAACUAGAAAAUGUUAUACCAUGUGAGAGAAUCCAGACCUAGAAAGACAAAUGUCACACGUUCUUCUUUACUUGUGGAACAUGCUUCUGUAUCUUUAGGUUUGAGUAUGUAACUUGAAGUAACCACAGAAGCCAGUAAAAUAGAAAGGGAUCAUGGGAGAGUGCUGAGUAAGAGCUCUAGAGAGAGGGGAAGUAGGACAUGAGGGACAAACAAAAGGAGAGACUUGAACUCAGAAGAAGAAAGGGAGGGUUAUAUGGAGGGAGUAGAGGAAAGGAGGGAUAAAACAGCCCUCAGAUGCUUGAAAAAGUCAUAGGGAAACAGUUUUACAAGAUUAAUACACACACACACACACACACACACACACACACACACACACACACACACACACCUCAUGUGGGGUGAUUAUACUUCCCUCAAGAUCCAUAGACUUUCUGACCAAAAAACUCCAGUCACAGGCGUGGGAUACCUCCUUUCUAUUUUCCAAUCAGUUUUUUGUAAUUAAGAAAUUUUUUAUUCAUUUUACAUACUAACCACAGAUCCCCCUCUCUUCCCUCCUCCUGCCUCCCACCCUCCCCCUCACAACCCCCCAUUCUCUCCUCCGACAAGGUAAGGCCUCCCAUAGGGAGUCAGAAGAGCCUGGUACAUUCAGUUGAGGCAGGUCCAAGUCCCUCCCCCUGCCCCACAAAUGGUAUAGGCUAUUUUAUAGGCUAGUUCCAUUGCUGUUGGAUGCCUCCCAGAACUUGAAGGCAUGGUCUUAUUACUGAAGACAUAACACACUUUGGACACAAGACUUGGAGAAAACAAGCUCGAUAUAACCUAGAAGACUCCUUCUUGAGGACUUGCUCUCACUGUAUUCAAAGGUGCUAUGCAAGCCACAAAGGCAAAAAAAAAAA
This is a long non-coding RNA of Peromyscus californicus insignis, 2942 nucleotides long. RefSeq lists it as uncharacterized. The record is from RefSeq and is a predicted model, not a curated record. The transcript is spliced from 3 exons. NCBI's taxonomy places the organism in Eukaryota, Metazoa, Chordata, Mammalia, Rodentia, Cricetidae.